Molecule: non-coding RNA, 77 nt
Organism: Auriculariales sp. MPI-PUGE-AT-0066
Lineage: Eukaryota; Fungi; Basidiomycota; Agaricomycetes; Auriculariales
Source: the annotation of a GenBank genome assembly
GACCGGCUGGUCUAACGGCAUGACGCUCCAUCAUAGAUAGCCUAGGAGUAGUGUGGGUUCGAAUCCUGCGCUGGUCC